This 301-nucleotide ribosomal RNA is filed under the name uncultured bacterium. RNAcentral describes it as "partial 16S ribosomal RNA". It matches the Rfam family "Bacterial small subunit ribosomal RNA", at positions 509 to 809 of the family's 1533-position model. The record is from RNAcentral.
CAGUAGCCGCGGUAAUACGUAGGUGGCGAGCGUUGUCCGGAAUCAUUGGGCGUAAAGGGAGCGCAGGCGGGCAUGUAAGUCUUUCUUAAAAGUGCGGGGCUCAACCCCGUGAUGGGAAAGAAACUAUGUGUUUUGAGUACAGGAGAGGAAAGCGGAAUUCCCAGUGUAGCGGUGAAAUGCGUAGAUAUUGGGAGGAACACCAGUGGCGAAGGCGGCUUUCUGGACUGCAACUGACGCUGAGGCUCGAAAGCCAGGGGAGCGAACGGGAUUAGAUACCCCAGUAGUCCCUGUCUCUUAUACA